Molecule: long non-coding RNA, 1392 nt
Filed under: Cyanistes caeruleus (blue tit)
Lineage: Eukaryota; Metazoa; Chordata; Aves; Passeriformes; Paridae
Description: lncRNA (ENSCCEG00000017671.1)
Source: RNAcentral
AUGUUCGUGUUCCAGGACACCUGGGCUGGGCUUUGCACCUUCCAGAACCUUCCAGGGUCCUCCAGAGGGGCACCAGCACUCCCUGCCUGCCCCAAAGGCUCAUCCUCUGCCACGGGCAGGAUCCAGCACAAGCACAGCCUGUUCCCAGAAAUCCCAGCUGGAAAAGGCCCUGUGGAAUCAUCUGCUCACCCUCCAGCCUGGAUGGAGGCACCUCAAGCGCUGCAGGAAUUCCCCCCUGGGACGAUAUCCUGGGGAGAUUUAAUAGCUGGGAAGUGUCCGUCCGUCCUUCCCUCCCUCCCUCCGGUCAUCCCCCGUGUCAUCCCUGCUGAUCUGCACGCUCCAGCCUCUCUCCCAGCCCUGCUCCAGUUGAUCCCCAGGAACAGCCACCCUUCCAGGCCCAUUGACUGCUCACUCAGCCUUGGCUGGGGCACAGCAGCCUUCUGUUCCAGCGCCCAGCCCAGCUGCUCCAGCACGCAGGAAUGGCCUGUCCCCAGCAUUCCCAAAGGUUCCAAACAUUCCCAACGGUUCCAAACAUUCCCAAAGGCCCCAAACAUUCCCAAAGGCCCCAAACAUUCCCAAAGGUUCCAAAUAUUCCCAAAGGUUCCAAAUAUUCCCAAAGGUCCCAAAUAUUCCCAAAGGUCCCAAAUAUUCCCAAAGGCCCCAAAUAUUCCCAAAGGCACAGGAAUGGUCCCAAACAUUCCCAAAGGCACAGGAAUGGUCCCAAACAUUCCCAAAGGCACAGGAAUGGUCCCAAACAUUCCCAAAGGCACAGGAAUGGUCCCCAAAUAUUCCCAAAGGCACAGGAAUGGUCCCAAAUAUUCCCAAAGGCACAGGAAUGGUCCCAAACAUUUCCAAAGGUCCCAAACAUUCCCAAAGGCACAGGAAAGGUUUUUCCCAGGAAUUGUUUGUCCCCAGCAUUCCCAAAGGCACAGGAAAGGUUUUUCCCAGGAAUGUUUGUCCCCAGCAUUCCCAAAGGCACAGGAAAGAUUUGUCCCCAGGAAUGUUUGUCCCCAGCAUUCCCAAAGGCACAGGAAUGGUUUUUCCCAGGAAUGUUUGUCCCCAGCAUUCCCAAAGGCAGCUCUGGAGCAGAGCCCACACAAAGCCGUCCCCUGUCACUCCCCGAGCCGGUACCUGGCACCACGGCCGCUGUCACUGUCCCCUCCCGGUCCCUUUGUGCUCUCAGGAUUUCUGAGCCGCUGCAGAGCUCCAGGGAAGCGCUGGCCCUGUGACCACAACAAUCCUUUAUUCUCUUUGCCGGCUCCCAAGGGGGAAUUUGGGAAUUGGUGCCAGGCUCCGGAGCGAGGUGGCGCGGUGACCGCGGGGACAGCGCUGGCAGGACGCUCCUCAGGUGACCAAAAACCACUCUGGGUUCUCCUCUCCAGGCUGAAGUGA